UUAUUUAAGAGUUUGAUCCUGGCUCAGGAUGAACGCUGGCGGCGUGCCUAACACAUGCAAGUCGAGCGGAGUUAUUUUCAGGAAGCCUUCGGGUGGAAUGAUUUUAAUUUAGCGGCGGACGGGUGAGUAACGCGUGGGCAACCUACCCUGUACAGGGGAAUAACAAUGGGAAACCAUUGCUAAUACCCCAUAAUACCUUUUAGGGGCAUCCCUAAAAGGUCAAAGAAUUUCGGUAUAGGAUGGGCCCGCGUCUGAUUAGCUAGUUGGUGAGGUAAUGGCUCACCAAGGCGACGAUCAGUAGCCGGCCUGAGAGGGUGAACGGCCACACUGGAACUGAGACACGGUCCAGACUCCUACGGGAGGCAGCAGUGGGGAAUAUUGCACAAUGGGGGAAACCCUGAUGCAGCAACGCCGCGUGAGCGAUGAAGGCUUUCGGGUCGUAAAGCUCUGUCCUAAGGGAAGAUAAUGACGGUACCUUAGGAGGAAGCCCCGGCUAACUA
This 500-nucleotide ribosomal RNA is filed under the name Acetanaerobacterium sp. MSJ-12. Its description in RNAcentral is "bacterial SSU rRNA". It matches the Rfam family "Bacterial small subunit ribosomal RNA", at positions 1 to 503 of the family's 1533-position model. Lineage: Bacteria; Bacillati; Bacillota; Clostridia; Eubacteriales; Oscillospiraceae. The record is from RNAcentral.